RNAcentral lists this ribosomal RNA (465 nucleotides) under Vreelandella stevensii. RNAcentral's name for it is "partial 16S ribosomal RNA". It matches the Rfam family "Bacterial small subunit ribosomal RNA", at positions 338 to 795 of the family's 1533-position model. Lineage: Bacteria; Pseudomonadati; Pseudomonadota; Gammaproteobacteria; Oceanospirillales; Halomonadaceae. The record is from RNAcentral.
UCUACGGGGUGCUGCAGUGGGGAAUAUUGGACAAUGGGCGAAAGCCUGAUCCAGCCAUGCCGCGUGUGUGAAGAAGGCCUUCGGGUUGUAAAGCACUUUCAGUGGGGAAGAAAGCCUUGGGGCUAAUACCCUCGAGGAAGGACAUCACCCACAGAAGAAGCACCGGCUAACUCCGUGCCAGCAGCCGCGGUAAUACGGAGGGUGCGAGCGUUAAUCGGAAUUACUGGGCGUAAAGCGCGCGUAGGCGGUCUGAUAAGCCGGUUGUGAAAGCCCCGGGCUCAACCUGGGAACGGCAUCCGGAACUGUCAGGCUAGAGUGCAGGAGAGGAAGGUAGAAUUCCCGGUGUAGCGGUGAAAUGCGUAGAGAUCGGGAGGAAUACCAGUGGCGAAGGCGGCCUUCUGGACUGACACUGACGCUGAGGUGCGAAAGCGUGGGUAGCAAACAGGAUUAGAUACCCUAGUAGUC